AUUGAACGCUGGCGGCAUGCCUAACACAUGCAAGUCGAGCGAGCGGCGGACGGGUGAGUAAUGUAUGGGGAUCUGCCCGAUAGAGGGGGAUAACUACUGGAAACGGUGGCUAAUACCGCAUACUCUCGGAUGAUCCCAGAUGGGAUUAGCUAGUAGGUGGGGUAAAGGCUCACCUAGGCGACGAUCACUAGCUGGUCUGAGAGGAUGACCAGCCACACUGGAACUGAGAAACGGCCCAGACACCGACGUGAGGCAGCAGUGGGGAAUAUGGCACAAUGGGCGCAAGCCUGAGUCAGCCAGGCCGCGUGUAUGAAGAAGGCCUAAAGGUGGUAAAGUACUUUCAGCGGGGAGGCGUUACCCGCAGAAGAAGCAACGGCUAAAUCCGUGCCAGCAGCUGCGGUAAUUC
This 406-nucleotide ribosomal RNA is filed under the name uncultured bacterium. RNAcentral describes it as "partial 16S ribosomal RNA". It matches the Rfam family "Bacterial small subunit ribosomal RNA", at positions 29 to 526 of the family's 1533-position model. The record is from RNAcentral.